Molecule: unclassified non-coding RNA, 400 nt
Filed under: Tuber himalayense
Lineage: Eukaryota; Fungi; Ascomycota; Pezizomycetes; Pezizales; Tuberaceae
Description: partial contains ITS1, 5.8S rRNA, ITS2 and 28S rRNA
Rfam family: 5.8S ribosomal RNA (bases 168-321)
Source: RNAcentral
CUUUGGGAUACCAUUGUGUAUUCCUGAAUACGAACCUCUCUGCGUAUUACUCCAUGUUGCUUCCACGGGUUAAGCUAUCAUGCUAGCACCUGUGGGAGAUCUUCACAUUAACAGAGUACUUGAUUAUGCUGUCUGAGCUGGCCAUGUGUCAGAUUUACUGAAGUAAAAACUUUCAACAACGGAUCUCUUGGCUCUCGCAUCGAUGAAGAACGCAGCGAAAUGCGAUAGGUAAUGUGAAUUGCAGAAUUCAGUGAAUCAUCGAAUCUUUGAACGCACAUUGCGCCCUUUGGUAUUCCUUAGGGCAUGCCUGUUCGAGCGUCACUAAAUACCUUAUCACAAUAUUUGUGGUCUUGGCAGGAGUGAAUUGCUGGUCUAUGGAAGUAUUCCAGCAGUACACAAU